AAUAUCUAAAUUGCUGUCCACUAUGUUCGUAGGCUUUUUUUUUUUUUUUUUUGGUAUUAUUUCAUCACAGAUUUGUGUGUGCUGUUUCAGAUCUGUGUUUUGAGGAUGCAUGUUGCUGGACUUUGUUCCUUUGCUUUCCAUUCCUUAAUUUUUAUACAAUUUCAAACACAUUUCUAACCUCCCACAAACUGAUAUUUCUCUUCCUCUGGCAGGUUACUAAGGUUAUCUUUCUUCUUGAGUUUGCCCAGACAACUCUUGGAGAAUAAUUUCUGCUCUAAUAUAUGUGCUUUUUUCUUCCUGCAAAUAUUUAAUGACUUCUGCUACUGCCUUGAGGACUGAAUUUUGAGAUUCUUCACGUUUUUUUUUGUUUGUUUGGUUGGUUGGUUGGUUUUUGUUAGUUUUUCUAGGUUUUUUUUUUUUUUUUUUAGGGCUAUUCACUUCUUUUAUAAAGUGUUCAACCACACAGAAGCAGUGGUUCCUAUGCAUGCAUACAUUUGUUUAUGUGUGUGUACAUUUUUAGAUGUGUGUUUAUAUAACUACUCAUGUACCUGCUCUUACAUUUAAAACAAUGCUAUUUACCUACAGGAGGAUGAAGAAGAAACAUAUGAGCAAACUCUAGAAUUCCGCAGAGGAGGUGAUGGUCAGCCAAGGCGGUCCACACGACCUACUCAGCAAUUUUAUCAACCCCCAAGAGCUAGAAACUGAUUAAUAAGAAUUAAACGUCUUCUUGGGUUGAGGGAAUAUUCACUGGCAGCUCCAACUUGAUGAAGACUUCUAGAAGAACUUCUGGCUUUUUCCAAGCAACAGGGUGGGACAAAGAAAGCUGAUAUGAGCAGAAGGAAUUGAACUUGAUACCACAAGAGACUUUUUAAAGUUCUUAGUUAAAUGAAGCUGAAUACUUUUUACAUAUGAAAGAAGCAAAUUGUCUUUGCUGCCACCAAUAAAACCACAGUGCACUAUUCUAUUCUUUGCCUUGCAUUCUUUUUACUGAGCAUCCAUUUUUUUAAAUUAACACAACCACUGGUGUGUUAUGAUUUUUAUUCAUUCUGAAUUGAUUUUGGUCUAAUUCUGUCUCUAUUAAAGUAGAGUAAAUGUCCUAUUUCUUAGAAGCAAACAGGAUUGGCUUCAAGUUUAGGCUUUAGGCUAGC
RNAcentral lists this long non-coding RNA (1148 nucleotides) under Gallus gallus (chicken). Lineage: Eukaryota; Metazoa; Chordata; Aves; Galliformes; Phasianidae. The record is from RNAcentral.